This 601-nucleotide ribosomal RNA is filed under the name Parapanesthia gigantea. RNAcentral describes it as "SSU rRNA". It matches the Rfam family "Eukaryotic small subunit ribosomal RNA", at positions 426 to 931 of the family's 1831-position model. Lineage: Eukaryota; Metazoa; Arthropoda; Insecta; Blattodea; Blaberidae. The record is from RNAcentral.
CAGCAGGCGCGCAAAUUACCCACUCCCGGCACGGGGAGGUAGUGACGAAAAAUAACGAUACGGGACUCAUCCGAGGCCCCGUAAUCGGAAUGAGCACACUUUAAAUCCUUUAACGAGUAUCCAUUGGAGGGCAAGUCUGGUGCCAGCAGCCGCGGUAAUUCCAGCUCCAAUAGCGUAUAUUAAAGUUGUUGCGGUUAAAAAGCUCGUAGUCGGACUUGUGUCACACGCUGCCGGUUCACCGCCCGUCGGUGUUUAACUGGCAUGCACGUGCUGACGUCCUGCCGGUGGCCCAAGCGGGUCCGGGAGCUCUGGGUGCGGGAUUCCCUUCGGGGGCCCGCCUCGAACCCGGUGUCCUGGGAGGGCCUACUCAUACCCCUCGCGGUGCUCUUAACCGAGUGUCUCGAUGGGCCGGCACGUUUACUUUGAACAAAUUAGAGUGCUUAAAGCAGGCAGCAUCCGCCUGAAUACUGAGUGCAUGGAAUAAUGGAAUAGGACCUCGGUUCUAUUUUGUUGGUUUUCGGAAUCCCCGAGGUAAUGAUCAAUAGGGACAGACGGGGGCAUUCGUAUUGCGACGUUAGAGGUGAAAUUCUUGGAUCGUCGC